GGAGAGGUGGCUGAGUGGCUUAAGGCAGCGGGUUGCUAACUCGUCGUACUGCGAAAGUGGUACCGGGGGUUCGAAUCCCCCCCUCUCCGCCA
Molecule: transfer RNA, 92 nt
Filed under: Bdellovibrionales bacterium
Lineage: Bacteria; Pseudomonadati; Bdellovibrionota; Bdellovibrionia; Bdellovibrionales
Description: tRNA-Ser
Rfam family: tRNA
About the family: Transfer RNA (tRNA) molecules are approximately 80 nucleotides in length.
Source: RNAcentral